GCGAGGGUGGCGGAACUGGCAGACGCGCUGGACUUAGGAUCCAGUCCCUUAUGGGAUGAGGGUUCAACUCCCUCCCCUCGCA
This 82-nucleotide transfer RNA is filed under the name bacterium. Its description in RNAcentral is "tRNA-Leu". It matches the Rfam family "tRNA". Rfam says of the family: Transfer RNA (tRNA) molecules are approximately 80 nucleotides in length. Their secondary structure includes four short double-helical elements and three loops (D, anti-codon, and T loops). Further hydrogen bonds mediate the characteristic L-shaped molecular structure. tRNAs have two regions of fundamental functional importance: the anti-codon, which is responsible for specific mRNA codon recognition, and the 3' end, to which the tRNAs corresponding amino acid is attached (by aminoacyl-tRNA synthetases). tRNAs cope with the degeneracy of the genetic code in two manners: having more than one tRNA (with a specific anti-codon) for a particular amino acid; and 'wobble' base-pairing, i.e. permitting non-standard base-pairing at the 3rd anti-codon position. The record is from RNAcentral.